This 253-nucleotide ribosomal RNA is filed under the name uncultured bacterium. Its description in RNAcentral is "partial 16S ribosomal RNA". It matches the Rfam family "Bacterial small subunit ribosomal RNA", at positions 524 to 776 of the family's 1533-position model. The record is from RNAcentral.
GACGUAGGAGGCGAGCGUUGUCCGGAUUCAUUGGGCGUAAAGAGCACGCAGGCGGUUUGGCAAGUCGGAUGUGAAAACCCGAAGCUCAACUUCGGGCCUGCAUCCGAAACUGCCCGACUAGAGGUAGGUAGGGGAGAUCGGAAUUCCUGGUGUAGCGGUGAAAUGCGUAGAUAUCAAGAGGAACACCUGAGGUGAAGACGGGUUGCUGGGCUGACACUGACGCUGAGGCGCGAAAGCCAGGGGAGCAAACGGG